UAUUCUUCCUUAGUAAAGUCACUUGACUGCUGACAGUCUGUUUCCUGGACUAUAAAACGAAGAUGCUAUGAAUACUGCUGAAGUGACUAACUGAUGACGUAUCAAUGUCAAACAUAAGUAUCGGUGAAAGAACUAUUUUGAAAUAAACAUCCUGGUUAAUCACUAAGGUCUAAGGAGGAAAACUGAAGAUGAAGUUCAACAGACCCGUCACUAGUGGAGCCUGGCUUUCUCCUUGGAGAGAGCAGUAACCAGACUCUACCUGUUACAAUGAGAAGCUGCACUCAGGAUAAUUAUGGCUCUGUAAACCAUCAGCAUUCAGCAGGCGGUAAUUGAAAUUUCAUAGGCUCAUUAGCAGGUGGGAGAGGUACUGUGGCUGAGAGCUGCCAGUUGAAUAGAUUGUACAGUAUUGCAAUUUGUCAUACGGCACUGUACUGCUACUAUGUUAAAAGGAAAGCAGGAAAAUAAAAGGUACUUUUUCUUAUACAAAAUGAAACACAGAA
RNAcentral lists this non-coding RNA (500 nucleotides) under Pongo abelii (Sumatran orangutan). The record is from RNAcentral. Lineage: Eukaryota; Metazoa; Chordata; Mammalia; Primates; Hominidae.